GACGAACGCUGGCGGCGUGCUUAACACAUGCAAGUCGAACGGAAAGGCCCUGCUUUUGUGGGGUGCUCGAGUGGCGAACGGGUGAGUAACACGUGAGUAACCUGCCCUUGACUUUGGGAUAACUUCAGGAAACUGGGGCUAAUACCGGAUAGGAGCUCCUGCUGCAUGGUGGGGGUUGGAAAGUUUCGGCGGUUGGGGAUGGACUCGCGGCUUAUCAGCUUGUUGGUGGGGUAGUGGCUUACCAAGGCUUUGACGGGUAGCCGGCCUGAGAGGGUGACCGGCCACAUUGGGACUGAGAUACGGCCCACACUCCUACGGGAGGCAGCAGUGGGGAAUAUUGCACAAUGGGCGGAAGCCUGAUGCAGCAACGCCGCGUGCGGGAUGACGGCCUUCGGGUUGUAAACCGCUUUCGCCUGUGACGAAGCGUGAGUGACGGUAAUGGGUAAAGAAGCACCGGCUAACUACGUGCCACCAGCCGCGGUGAUACGUAGGGUGCGAGCGUUGUCCGGAUUUAUUGGGCGUAAAGGGCUCGUAGGUGGUUGAUCGCGUCGGAAAGUUAAUCUUGGGGCUUAACCCUGAGCGUGCUUUCGAUACGGGUUGACUUGAGGAAGGUAGGGGAGAAUGGAAUUCCUGGUGGAGCGGUGGAAUGCGCAGAUAUCAGGAGGAACACCAGUGGCGAAGGCGGUUCUCUGGGCCUUUCCUGACGCUGAGGAGCGAAAGCGUGGGGAGCGAACAGGCUUAGAUACCCUGGUAGUCCACGCUGUAAACGGUGGGUACUAGGUGUGGGGUCCAUUCCACGGGUUCCGUGCCGUAGCUAACGCUUUAAGUACCCCGCCUGGGGAGUACGGCCGCAAGGCUAAAACUCAAAGGAAUUGACGGGGGCCCCGCACAAGCGGCGGAGCAUGCGGAUUAAUUCGAUGCAACGCGUAGAACCUUACCUGGGUUUGACAUGGAUCGGGAGUGCUCAGAGAUGGGUGUGCCUCUUUUGGGGUCGGUUCACAGGUGGUGCAUGGCUGUCGUCAGCUCGUGUCGUGAGAUGUUGGGUUAAGUCCCGCAACGAGCGCAACCCUUGUUCACUGUUGCCAGCACGUUAUGGUGGGGACUCAGUGGAGACCACCGGGGUCAACUCGGAGGAAGGUGGGAUGACGUCAAGUCAUCAUGCCCCUUAUGUCCAGGGCUUCACGCAUGCUACAAUGGCUGGUACAGAGAGUGGCGAGCCUGUGAGGGUGAGCGAAUCUCGGAAAGCCGGUCUCAGUUCGGAUUGGGGUCUGCAACUCGACCUCAUGAAGUCGGAGUCGCUAGUAAUCGCAGAUCAGCAACGCUGCGGUGAAUACGUUCCCGGGGCU
This 1346-nucleotide ribosomal RNA is filed under the name uncultured bacterium. Its description in RNAcentral is "partial 16S ribosomal RNA". It matches the Rfam family "Bacterial small subunit ribosomal RNA", at positions 28 to 1381 of the family's 1533-position model. The record is from RNAcentral.